Molecule: long non-coding RNA, 880 nt
Filed under: Homo sapiens (human)
Lineage: Eukaryota; Metazoa; Chordata; Mammalia; Primates; Hominidae
Description: non-protein coding lnc-TMEM30A-2:1
Source: RNAcentral
AUGGGCAAUGGAGAUCCUAAGAAGCUGAGAGGCAAAAUGUCAUGAUAUGCAUUCUUUGUGCAAACUUGUCCGGAGGAGGAGCAUAAGAAGAAGCACCCAGGUGCUUCAGUCAACUUCUCAGAGUUUUCUUUUCUUUUCUUUUUUUUUUUGGGGGACGGAGUCUUGCUCUGUUGCCCAGGCUGGAGUGCAGUGGCACAAUCUCAGCUCACUGCAAGCUCCGCCCCCCGGGUUCACACAAUUAUCCUGCCUCAGCCUCCGCAGUAGCUGGGACUACAGGCGCCCGCCGCUACGCCCGGCUAAUUUUUUGUAUUUUUAGUAGAGACAGGGUUUCACCGUGUUAGCCAGGAUGGUCUCGAUCUCCUGACCUUGUGAUCCGCCAGCCUCGGCCUCCCAAAGUGCUGGGAUUACAGGCGUGAGCCACCGGGCCCGGCCUCAGAGUUUUCUAAGAAGUGCUCAGAGAGGUAGAAGACCAUGUCUGCUGAAGAGAAAGGAAAAUUUGAAGAUAUGGCAAAGGCGGACAAGGCCCAUUAUGAAAGAGAAAUGAAAUCUAUAGCCCUCCUAAAGGGGAGACAAAAAAGAAGUUCAAGGACUCCAGGGCACCCAAGAGCUCUCCUUCGGCCUUUUUCAUGUUCUGCUCUGAGUAUCGCCCAAAAAUCAAAGAAGAACAUCCUGGCCUGCCCAUUGGUGAUGCUGGAAGAAACUGGGACAGGUGUGAAAUAAUACUGUUGCAGAUGACAAGCAGCCUUAUGAAAAGAAGGCUGCGAAGCUGAAGGAAAAACAAGAAAAGGAUAUUGCUGCAUAUCAAGCUAAAGGAAAGCCUGAUGCAGCAUAAAAGGGAAUUGUCAAGUCUGAAAAAAGCAAGAAAAAGAAGGAAGAGGAG